AUAAAGAAACUAUUAGGAAGGCUUGCCAUAUAUUAAAGAGAGCUGUUUAAAUUGUGUUUUUUGAGGGGUGGCGUAAAAACCUCCCUCUAUUCAGUCAUCACAUAAACUCUUAGAGAAAUUCAGUAAUAAACGAAGUGAAUUGAAAUAUCUUAGUAACUUUAGGAAAAGAAAUCAAACGAGAUUCUGCGAUUAAUGUGAAUUAAAGCAGAAGAGCCUAGAGUAUUAAAUAAUUAUUUUUUAGGGUAGCAAUUGCAGCCCAUAAAAAUUUUAUAGCGAUGAGGAUAACUAAAUCGCUAUUAAUACUUUAAAUAAGUAAAACGGGCUAUAAACCUGUUUGAAUAUUAAGGGGAACCUUCCUCUAAGGCUAAAUAUAAUAUAUGAGCGAUAGUGAAAAGUGCCUGUGAAGGAAGCGUUUUAUUAGUAGUUUUAUAAGCAGCUCAAGCAAAGUUUAAAUACAUAGUGAGAGCGUACCUUUUGCAUAAUGGGUCAGCAAGUUAAUGUUAGAUGCGAGCAGGAAUGCCUAGAUAAACCAAUUAUGAAAUAAUGAAUUAGUAUCUAAAAUUAGACCCGAAGCCUAGUGAUCUUACCAUGAUCAGGGUUAUAAAAGCCCGAACGGGUUAUCGUUGUAAAGAUAUCCGAUGAAUUGUGGUAAGUUAGUGAAAGACAAUACUGACUAGGAUAGCUGGUUUUCUGCGAAACCUAUAUAAGUAGGUAAUUUAAAUUACAUCAUAGCAGGUACAGAACUGUGAUCUCAGGCAACUUUUAACUAGUGUAAGAAAGAAAUUUCUUAUAUUUAUUGAUUUUGCACAUAUCGGGGGAUCGUGAAGAUUUUAUCGGUGAGUAUUCGCACUCGGAAGGGCAAUGAUGAAUUUUGAAUAAUCGGACAUAGUACGAUAAGGUUGUAUGUCUAAAGGGAAACAGCCCAGAACAAGAGUUAAGGUUCCAAAAUUAUUGUUAAGUGAAAUUAAGGAAGUUUCUAUCUAAUACGACUAGGAAAUAGGCUUAGAAGCGGCCAUUUUUUGAAGACCUCGUAACAGAGCACUGGUUUAGUAUUUAGUUUACUAUUUACAUUGAUAGUGGCACCGAAAAUUUAACGGAUCUAAAUAAUAUACCGACACCUUGUCCAUAUUAAUAUAUAUAUUAUCAUAUUAUAUGGGGUAGCGGAACGUUGGGUAAAUUUUAGAUUUAAUCUUAAAUAGAUUAAUGAAUAAAUGACCCAAGUGAGAAUGCUGACAUGAGUAACGAAAAAGGGAUCAAAAUCCCUCGCCUAAAGCUUAUGGAAUUAUUAAAGUAACGGCCUCUAAGUUUAUAAAACCUAAAGGAUUAAACGAUGAGAAAAUCUUGUCUACAAAGUAACAACCUUUAUAUGACGAAAGUAAAAAUUUCGUUCUAAAGUGUAAAAGGUUCUGGAAAAACAGUAAGAUUCUUUUUAGCCAUGUGUUUUAUACGCAGGGUUAAAAAGGUGACAUAAUAACCGUACCUAAAUUCUAUCCCAAGUAAGCUAGUAGAGAAUACGAAGGCGUUUGAGUGAACAAUCAUUAAGGAACUCGGCAAACUAACUACCGUAACUUAGGGAUAAGGAGAGCCAUUCCUCCUGAUUAAUAUCAGGUAAAGAAUAGGAAGCAUGGAAUAGUGUUGUACGACUGUUUAAUUAAAACAAAGCACUUUGCCUAUAAGAUAAUAAAUCAAAGUAUUGAGUGUGAUUUCUGCCCGAUGUCGGCUGGUUAACGGAUUAGCUAAGUUGACUAAAAUAAACUUGGUGUUGAAGGAAACCCCGAUCAAUGGCGGCCUUACCCUGAGGGUCCUAAGGUAGCGGAAUACCCUGGCCGUUAAAUGCGGUCUUGCAUGAAUGAUUUAACGAUACAACAGCUGUCUCAAUGAUUGGCUCAGUGAAAUUGGAAUAGCUGUGCAGAUACAGUUUACCUCUAGUUAGACGAGAAGACCCUAUGCAGCUUUACUGUUGCUAGUUAUUGAAUAUGAUUAAACUAUUUUUAGUAGUAUAAGGUAAUUGGAUAAAAGAUGUUAUUGAAAGACCUUUAUCCUGUUUGUCGUAUUGGUAGAUAGAAUUAUUCUACUUUUUUAUCUUUAAAGAUAAGAAAUAACCCCGCUGAUUUUAAACAAAAAGGGGGACAAUGACUAGGAGGCAGUUUAUGCGGGGCACAGAUCCCAUAAAAAGUACCUGGGUGUAUCCAAAGUUAAUUUUGUAAAAUUGACAUGAAUUUACUGUAAAAAGUACUUUUCAUGCCAACUAAACACGAGCGAAAGCUUAUGUGUUUAUUUAUUUUUAGUUUGUUAUUUGGUAUAGCAUAUGCUAUAACUAAUCCAGCUAUAUAUCUAUUAAGUUAGAACUAUUUUUUUUUUCCAAGUAAGAUUUUAACUAUAUGGAAGAUAGAUGUAAUUAAAACAUUGACGUAGAUAUAGGGAGCUUUGCUCCUUAAUUCCAAUGUUUUUAGUUUUUUUAUUAGGUGUAUUAGGCUAGUCUUAAUUACAAACCGCUAAUAAAAUAAUUAUGUUUAUUACUUGUCAAGUUUAAUGGCUUAAUCUUGCUUUACUGUUUGACUUACACGUCUAUCAGUCGCGUAAGCGGGGCAUAUGAUCACAAGAUGCAGAAAGGAAAGGUCUUGGAUUUUUGAAAAAGCUACGCUAGGGAUGUUAGUCCUCCAAUGUUUAUCUCUAUUUAAGUUUGUCCCCCUUCGGAGGGAGAGACUUUUUAGAUUUAAAUCCAUUGGUAAUUUAUUGGGUUAAUUUCAAGAAU
Molecule: ribosomal RNA, 2755 nt
Filed under: feces metagenome
Description: bacterial LSU rRNA
Rfam family: Bacterial large subunit ribosomal RNA
Source: RNAcentral